AUACGUAGGGUGCAAGCGUUAAUCGGAAUUACUGGGCGUAAAGCGUGCGCAGGCGGUUUUGUAAGACAGUGGUGAAAUCCCCGGGCUCAACCUGGGAACUGCCAUUGUGAAUUCAAGGCUGGAGUGCGGCAGAGGGGGAUGGAAUUCCGCGUGUAGCAGUGAAAUGCGUAGUUAUGCGGAGGAACUCCAAUGGCGAAGGCAUUCCCCUGGGCCUCCACUGAUGCUCAUGCACGAAAGAGCAGGGAGCAAACAGGAUUAGAUACCCUGGUCGUCCGCGCCCUCAACGAUGUCAACUGGUUGUUGGGGAUUUAGUUUUCCAGUCACGAAGCUAACGCGUGAAGUUGACCGCCUGGGGAGUACGGCCGCAAGGUGAAAGCUGAAAUGAAUUGACGCGG
RNAcentral lists this ribosomal RNA (395 nucleotides) under uncultured bacterium. Its description in RNAcentral is "partial 16S ribosomal RNA". It matches the Rfam family "Bacterial small subunit ribosomal RNA", at positions 523 to 918 of the family's 1533-position model. The record is from RNAcentral.